AUAGGAAUUCGAUGUUCAAUUAUAAACCCAAAAUAUAUGCAAUACUUUAUCAAAAACCAUCGAUAUAAACUCUCUGGCAUUAUCCAGUCUCUCGAACCUUAAGGGAUAAGUAGGGUGGUGAGCCCUUAAUCGGCCAUGAGGUUUAGCAGCAAUGUGUGUGGACAAACAUAUGACCAGUUUGUCGAUUCAUCAACCAAAACCAUAAGUAUUUAUAUGGUCCGCAUUUUGGUUGGAUUAGUCCACAUAUAUUCCCUUGAAUCCACUGUGAAAAGAGAGUCGUUUCGUAUCUUUGCAAAGGAUGAUUUAGAAAAUCAAUUUUCCUAAUGAGCAGGCUUGGCAAAGUGUG
RNAcentral lists this long non-coding RNA (346 nucleotides) under Malus domestica (apple). RNAcentral's name for it is "long non-coding RNA (MDOM_LNC000715)". The record is from RNAcentral. Lineage: Eukaryota; Viridiplantae; Streptophyta; Magnoliopsida; Rosales; Rosaceae.